This 229-nucleotide long non-coding RNA is filed under the name Gallus gallus (chicken). Lineage: Eukaryota; Metazoa; Chordata; Aves; Galliformes; Phasianidae. The record is from RNAcentral.
CUCAAGUGCUGAGCUAUGUAAAGGAGUUCCACAUCAAACGCCCAGCGUUCUACGUGGAGGGUUGAGAAUGUCCGCAAUGCAGCUUCUCUGGUUAAAAGUUUAAAUCCACACUGUGUAUCCCUGAUCUUUUUGACACAGAGAAACCACACAAGGAAAUGGAAGCCGUACAUAAGAAGAGUUCGAAAGUAAGAGCGCUUUGCUAUUGAGUCCUUUUCCAGAUGAGCUCUAG